AUUAUCACCUUUUUAGCUCACCUGACCUGAAAGGUCAAGUGAGCUUUUCUCAUCACUUGGCGUCCGUCGUCCGUCGUCCUGCGUCCGUCGUCCGUAAACUUUUACAAAAAUCUUCUCCUCUGAAACUACUUGGCCAAAUUCUACCAAACUUGGCACAAAUCAUCCUUGGGGUAUCUAGUUUAAAAAAUGUGUGGCGUGACCCGUCAAACCUACCAAGAUGGCCGCCAUGGCUAAAAAUAGAACAUAGGGG
Molecule: long non-coding RNA, 250 nt
Filed under: Mytilus galloprovincialis (Mediterranean mussel)
Lineage: Eukaryota; Metazoa; Mollusca; Bivalvia; Mytilida; Mytilidae
Source: RNAcentral